GAAAGUCAAAGGUAGCAACAUGAGGACUGAACCAGCAGCACAGCAACAGGGCGAACAUCAGUAUGGACCCUUGGUGCGUGCAACGGGUCGCGACCUCUUUACACGCGGCCCCGCGGAGGCCCGGGUCAGCACACACCUGAACCCUACCCCUCGCACUGGGCAUCCGGGCUCAGAGCCACUGAACCAGCCUGACCUCCACUCCACACUCUUACUCCUCAGAGACUUUACAAACAACACAGGAGACACACACUGGCACUUUGUUAACAUAUACUUCACAGUCUGCAGCCAGCCAGGGGAAAUAUAGACAGAGAUGAAUGUAUAGACACUCAGUUUAUAGAUGAUAUAUGGGCUGAAUUUGUAUGCAUGAUGGCAAGAAACUCUCAUUAGCUAUUUGCUUUAUUAGAGAUAUUGCUGUUCAUGU
Cyprinus carpio carpio is the source of this 421-nucleotide long non-coding RNA. Lineage: Eukaryota; Metazoa; Chordata; Actinopteri; Cypriniformes; Cyprinidae. The record is from Ensembl.